RNAcentral lists this ribosomal RNA (372 nucleotides) under uncultured organism. RNAcentral describes it as "bacterial SSU rRNA". It matches the Rfam family "Bacterial small subunit ribosomal RNA", at positions 526 to 896 of the family's 1533-position model. The record is from RNAcentral.
CAGAGACUGCAAGCGUUAUUCGGAUUCACUGGGCGUAAAGGGUGCGCAGGCGGCCAAGUGUGUCAGGUGUGAAAUCCCGAGGCUUAACCUCGGAACUGCGCCUGAAACUACUUGGCUAGAGUACUGGAGAGGGUAACGGAAUUCACGGUGUAGCAGUGAAAUGCGUAGAUAUCGUGAGGAACACCAGAGGCGAAGGCGGUUACCUGGACAGUUACUGACGCUCAGGCACGAAAGCGUGGGGAGCAAAAGGGAUUAGAUACCCCUGUAGUCCACGCCCUAAACGGUGCACACUAGGUCUUGGCGGAUUCGAUCCCACCAGGGCCCAAGCUAACGCGUUAAGUGUGCCGCCUGAGGACUACGGUCGCAAGACUA